Non-coding RNA from Cicer arietinum (chickpea), 1434 nucleotides. NCBI's taxonomy places the organism in Eukaryota, Viridiplantae, Streptophyta, Magnoliopsida, Fabales, Fabaceae. The record is from RefSeq and is a predicted model, not a curated record.
GACCCUUUUACUUUUCACAUUGAAAAGUUGAAAUUUUUCAUAAAAAAAUUGAAACUUUUAAAAAAAUAAAAAUUGAAACUUUAUGACACCCUUUUUCUCUAAUUUUUCAAUCAUCACAUUGUCAUUGACCAUUGUCUUCUCUCACAUUACAAGUUCCAAUCUUUCUAAGUGAAACUUUCAAUUUCAAUUUGGAAACUUUGUUCAUCAUGUCUAAACAAGAAAAUUCAAAACAUGGUUGUUUCUCUAGUUUCUUAAAAGUACUUAUUUGUGCUAAAAAUGGAACUAGUCCACCAGUGUAUCCAUCUGAAAAUGUUGAAGAAACAGAAUCAAUUCAUAGCAAAAAAGAUAAACUUUUUGAUGAUACUAUUACUCCUGGUGUAGUUGCAAGGUUAAUGGGGUUGGAUUCACUUCCAAAUACCAAAAGGGUCAUCAAAGGAACAACCUUAGACACUGUUCCAAGAAGUAGAUCGGUUAAUUUUGUUGAUUAUUUGCUCGAGUUUGAUCGAAACAUGUCGAAUCAUCGCCGAGCGAAAACAUCGGCAUCUUUUCGAGAAGUUCCUUCAAUUUUUCCAAUGAAGAAAAGUGACCCUUUUGUUGUUAUUGAUGAUAAUAUUUUAAAGGUUCAAGAAGGUAACUUGAGAAAAAAGAAUAAGGAAAUUGUGAGAGUGAAAAAGGAAAAAAUUCAAGGGAAGAAUAAGAAAAUAUCUAAGUUGAAAGAUGAACCAAGAAGGUUCCCUUUAUCUUCUUCUUCUUCUUCUAAGUAUAAAUCAAAGAUUGGAAAUUGUGGUAAAGGUAAAGAAUUUUCAAGUGUAAAGAAUUCUCAAAGUUGUAAGAGUUGUAAUUGUAGUUAUUAUGGAUAUGGUGAUGUUGGUUCAAGUUCAAGUUCAAAUUCAAUUUCUCCAAUGCCAAAUAGGCAUAAGAAAGGGUUUGUUGAAUCAAAAAUGAAGAACAAGGUGAAAAAAAAUUGUGUCACCAAAGAAGAUUCAGAGAGAACAUAACAUGGAAAAUCUUAGUCCAAUUUCAGUUCUAGAUGUCAAUGAUUAUGCUUUUCUCUAUGGAGCUGAUUUUUCAGGUACAAGCACUUUGGCUUCAAAGUCAAAGAGGAAAUCUAAAUCUUUAUUGGCAGUGUCCUUGAAUCAAGAUGAUGAAGAGAAAGGAAGCAAUAAUAAAGGUUAUGUCCACACUGACAUCAACAGAGAAGCAGAGUAUUACUCAGAUUUGAUGCUGAAGCUUCAAACUUUGGCAGAAGAAAGUAUAAGGGAGUCAGAUUUCACAUCAAAGUUUAUGUUUGAGGAAAUUUGUUUGGUGUUUGAACAAACAAUUUUCGACCAUUUAUUAUUUGAGGUUGUUAAUGAAGUUGUAGGAUUAUCUUCUUGAAAAUAUUGUCAUAUUUUGUCUCUAAAGCAUAUAUAGAAAGAGUCUUUUGUUAGUUAG